GGGCAGAUACACCUCAUAGGCCUAACGGGGC
This 31-nucleotide small RNA is filed under the name Bombyx mori (domestic silkworm). RNAcentral's name for it is "ovarian small RNA-17505". Lineage: Eukaryota; Metazoa; Arthropoda; Insecta; Lepidoptera; Bombycidae. The record is from RNAcentral.